CGCUUCGAACAGAUGCGGGGGAGAGGCGUUAGCGGAUGGAAGCAACAGUACUUUGAUACCGCCGCGGGUAGAUGCGUGGGGGCUCGUAUGUGACAUUGCACGUAGUGAAUGUGCAGGCUAGUGGUGCCUUGGGGAGACCACAGCGACACCACUACUUUGGAUGGCGAGCUAGGCCCAACGAGCCAGAACCCCAGCUACAACUUCCUGCGGUCUGGUAGGAGGCUGCUGUGGCCUACACUCUCCCCCCCUGGUUUUCAGUCCUCUGAAUUUCACUUCUGGGAUUUCAGUCUUGGAAUCUCAGUUCUGAUCAUCACACUUCCAAGUUCAACCUGUUAUAGACUGUCAUGCGCAUUGGAUUUAUAUCAAUCAUGAAAUAGCAAUUUUAUGGACAUUGUCUGCCGGGGGUUGGAGGAGGUUGCUGCACCAUUGUGCAGCUGAUAUUUUACAAGCUUGAAUUAUGUUUUAUCUUUUCCUGUCUGCAGACUUUGUAAAUAUUGGUAUUUGGUAAUUGCACUUUAUUUUCACUGUAAAUAACAACCGUAAUCACAAUA
Molecule: long non-coding RNA, 551 nt
Organism: Oreochromis niloticus (Nile tilapia)
Lineage: Eukaryota; Metazoa; Chordata; Actinopteri; Cichliformes; Cichlidae
Exons: 3
Source: RefSeq, a predicted model, not a curated record